UGUGACAGUUAUACCAGUGUGAGGGCACAGUGACACCAUUUACUAACCCUGUGUGUAUUUCCUACCUUCUGUCUGUGUCUCUGCAUGUUCUCAGUAACAUUACCCUGCCUCUGUCAGUAAAAGUGUGUGACAGAAACAGUCCCUGUGUCAGUGCUUAAUAAGUUGUGUGUGUUUCAGGUGCCUAUAAAGUGUGAUGAUGUUGCUGUGUAUUUCUCUAUGGAGGAGUGGGAGUAUAUAGAGAGACACAAGGAGCUUUACAAGGACAUCAUGAUGGAGACUCACCAAGCACUAAGGACUAUAGAGAUCCCAGGAAAUGAGAGCUCAGAACUAACAGGUCACAGUGAUGAAAAUCUAGACACAGGAGCACAUAGAGAACUUGAACAGAGUAUUCAGCCAGUGGAGACCCCAUCGGACGUCUCUGCAGAACUGACAGGUCACAGUGA
Long non-coding RNA from Bombina bombina (fire-bellied toad), 443 nucleotides. RefSeq lists it as uncharacterized. The transcript is spliced from 3 exons. The record is from RefSeq and is a predicted model, not a curated record. NCBI's taxonomy places the organism in Eukaryota, Metazoa, Chordata, Amphibia, Anura, Bombinatoridae.